AUCGCCAUGGUAACUGGCCACAGCUGGGAAGGGGGCCCGCCACGCGUGGGGCAGCCGCAGUGCAGGCCGCGCGCUGCUCCGAGCUGCGGUUCCAGCGGCACCGCUUCGAGAACAGCCAUGCUGCGUGCGGAGCGGCGGCGUGCGGCCGGGGGGCAGGGGACCGAAGCGCCGUCAGGAGCGGCUUUUUCUGUAUCACUGAUGUAUCUCCAGUUGCAUCUGACCAGCGGUGGAGCUCUUCCUUUGCAGAAUGGAGCCAGUCUGUGAAUUCAUGCACUGCAUCAAGGUACACAGGUCCCAAUUGUAUCAAUCACUACAAGCCUGCAGUGGGAAAAACCAUCCUAAGAGCAGCAUUAAAAGAAAAGGCUGUCAGGAAUGAGGAGUGAGAUCUUCUGUACAGUUCAUAUUCACUUCAGAGGAUCAUCCAGAUUCCCUCCCUGUGGCUUUGACAUUUGGAGGAAACAAAAAGCCAAAGUAGUUUCUUAAAAAAAGUAAGAUAUUUUAUUUAUUAAUUUUUUUUUGGAGUCAUUUGGAAAUCACAACAUUGGUUCCCACUGAUUUUUCAAACAUACUUUUCACACCUUGGAAGUUCAGAAAAAUUUGAUCAGACGGAACUUUUACUUAUUUAGAAAACCUAAAAGAUCUUCACAAACUGACAUUAACUGUAGAAUCUGAAGUCAGAAAUCUUUCUCUGUACUGGACUGUUUUCCAAACAGAUCUGUUCUGCCUUCUAAGUGAAGGAGGUACCAAAUUUCUCCUAAUCUUUCUUUUUACUGUGGAAGUCGUAAAGCAGUAAAGUCACUGAGAUCCCACAGAACUAAAGGGUUUGCUAGAUUCUGAGAAGUUCUAUUUAUUGGCCAGAAACUUGUCAUGAUUUCAGUAGUUCCAGUAUCUCAUUAUCGUUUGGACCUCAGGCAUCUGCAACAUUUUUCUGCAAAUUCAGUGCAUGCUUGAUACCUUAAUGAUUGGAAACCACCGCAGUAUUUCCUUUAUUGUUUCAGCAUAAAAGACACACAAAUCAAUAUUAAAAUCAAGUUAUAUAUACAACAGUUGAUUGACUUUGCCAAUGUUAAUUAAGAUGAUUUUAGAAAACUAUCUUUUGUCUCUAAAAAUAUUGACAUUUUGAUAUUCACUAAGACACACUCCAAUCCUGUAAAAAAAAAGAAACCAACAACCAUCCAAUCAAAUAAAAACAAACCAAAUGUAAUGCUGUCAGUAAUUUUUUGACUGCUAGUUGCACAGAAAACAAUUUUUUCUUGUUGAAUACUUGCAGUUUAUCUAAAAGUAACAGUAGGAAGCUUGUGAAGCCAUGAUUCAUGUCAUUUUGUGUGACAUUGUAAAUGGAGGUUUCUUGUUUUCCUCAUA
Molecule: long non-coding RNA, 1362 nt
Organism: Numida meleagris (helmeted guineafowl)
Lineage: Eukaryota; Metazoa; Chordata; Aves; Galliformes; Numididae
Exons: 4
Source: RefSeq, a predicted model, not a curated record